UGGGGAAUUUUGGACAAUGGGCGCAAGCCUGAUCCAGCCAUGCCGCGUGCGGGAAGAAGGCCUUCGGGUUGUAAACCGCUUUUGUCAGGGAAGAAAUCCUUUGAGCUAAUACCUCGGGGGGAUGACGGUACCUGAAGAAUAAGCACCGGCUAACUACGUGCCAGCAGCCGCGGUAAUACGUAGGGUGCAAGCGUUAAUCGGAAUUACUGGGCGUAAAGCGUGCGCAGGCGGUUAUGCAAGACAGAUGUGAAAUCCCCGGGCUCAACCUGGGAACUGCAUUUGUGACUGCAUGGCUAGAGUACGGUAGAGGGGGAUGGAAUUCCACGUGUAGCAGUGAAAUGCGUAGAGAUGUGGAGGAACACCGAUGGCGAAGGCAGCCCCCUGGGAUAACACUGACGCUCAUGCACGAAAGCGUGGGGAGCAAACA
This 427-nucleotide ribosomal RNA is filed under the name uncultured bacterium. Its description in RNAcentral is "bacterial SSU rRNA". It matches the Rfam family "Bacterial small subunit ribosomal RNA", at positions 355 to 774 of the family's 1533-position model. The record is from RNAcentral.